GGCCGGAUAAGGCGUUUACGCCGCCAUACGGCAAUGAUGCACCGCCUGAUGGCGACGCCUCGGCGUCUUAUCAGACC
This 77-nucleotide non-coding RNA is filed under the name Salmonella enterica subsp. arizonae serovar 62:z4,z23:-. Its description in RNAcentral is "Salmonella enterica subsp. arizonae serovar 62:z4,z23:-- Nucleoid-associated noncoding RNA 4 (CssrE)". It matches the Rfam family "Nucleoid-associated noncoding RNA 4 (CssrE)". From Rfam's summary of the family: In E. coli small RNA transcribed from repeated extragenic palindromic element (REP325) called nucleoid-associated ncRNA 4 (nRNA4) collaborates HU protein in condensing the DNA. RNAcentral also lists the same sequence under 1 other name. The record is from Rfam by way of RNAcentral. Lineage: Bacteria; Pseudomonadati; Pseudomonadota; Gammaproteobacteria; Enterobacterales; Enterobacteriaceae.